RNAcentral lists this ribosomal RNA (520 nucleotides) under uncultured Glomus. RNAcentral describes it as "SSU rRNA". It matches the Rfam family "Eukaryotic small subunit ribosomal RNA", at positions 569 to 1090 of the family's 1831-position model. Lineage: Eukaryota; Fungi; Glomeromycota; Glomeromycetes; Glomerales; Glomeraceae. The record is from RNAcentral.
AGCAGCCGCGGUAAUUCCAGCUCCAAUAGCGUAUAUUAAAGUUGUUGCAGUUAAAAAGCUCGUAGUUGAAUUUCGGGAUUAGUAGUCUGGUCGUGCCACUGGUAUGUACUGGUCUUACUGAUUUCUCCUUCUUGAAGAACCGUAAUGUCAUUAAUUUGGUGUUGCGGGGAAUCUGGACUGUUACUUUGAAAAAAUUAGAGUGUUUAAAGCAGGCUAACGCUUGAAUACAUUAGCAUGGAAUAAUGAAAUAGGACGUUCGAUCCUAUUUUGUUGGUUUCCAGGAUUGACGUAAUGAUUAAUAGGAAUAGUUGGGGGCAUUAGUAUUCAAUUGUCAGAGGUGAAAUUCUUGGAUUUAUUGAAGACUAACUACUGCGAAAGCAUUUGCCAAGGAUGUUUUCAUUAAUCAAGAACGAAAGUUAGGGGAUCGAAGACGAUCAGAUACCGUCGUAGUCUUAACCAUAAACUAUGCCGACUAGGGAUUGGAUGAUGUUAAUUUUAUAAUGACUCAUUCGGCGCCUUA